GAUGAACGCUGGCGGCGUGCCUAAUACAUGCACGUCGAGCGAACAGACGAGGAGCUUGCGCCUCUGACGUUAGCGGCGGAAGGGUCAUUAACACGUGGCUAACCUACCUGUAAGACUGGGAUAACUUCGGGCAACCUGCGCUAAUACCGGAUAAUAUAUCGAACCGCAUGGGUCAAUAGUGAUAGCCGCUGUUGCGGUCACUUAUAGACGGAUCCGCGCCGCAUUAGCUAGUUGGUAAGGUAACGGCUUACCAAGGCAACGAUGCGUAGCCGACCGGAGAGGGUGAUCGGCCCCCCUGGAAGUGAGACACGGCCCAGACUCCUACGGGAGGCAGCAGCCGGGAAUCUGCCGCAAUGCGCGCAGGCCUGACGGAGCAACGCGGCAUGAAGCAGGAAGGUCUCCGGCUCGUAAAACUCUGUUAGUCGGCAAGAACAAAUGUGUAAGUAACUAUGCACAUCUUGACCGUACCUAGUCAAAAAGCCACGGCUAACUUCGUG
RNAcentral lists this ribosomal RNA (497 nucleotides) under uncultured bacterium. RNAcentral describes it as "partial 16S ribosomal RNA". It matches the Rfam family "Bacterial small subunit ribosomal RNA", at positions 28 to 507 of the family's 1533-position model. The record is from RNAcentral.